GAUGAUGACAUCACAGACCAGCCCCCACCGCAGACGAAUCAUAGACAUUGUUACAUUCGCUAUUUGCUUCAACAAAAUGGCGGGAGUUUCGAAGUGUUCGAUUUUAGCAGAGGUCAGCAGGGAGAAAGUGAAAUAUGCAGAGAAUCUGGACCCCUGCCCAGUCACCUCCCGACCCCGCUGAGAUUCAGGUCCGAUCUCCUGAAGCCAGUAUCAUCCUGUCGGUCUUGAGGAGGGCCCAAAGAAGACGUCCAGAUGGAAGAGAUUACUAUAGAUGCUUGUACACCAAGAAAUUUGGUGCCCCACCAGAUGCCUCAGUAUCUGGCAACAGCCAGAGCACCACCGAUUUUUCUCAGGCCAC
Long non-coding RNA from Branchiostoma belcheri (Belcher's lancelet), 358 nucleotides. RefSeq lists it as uncharacterized. The transcript is spliced from 3 exons. NCBI's taxonomy places the organism in Eukaryota, Metazoa, Chordata, Leptocardii, Amphioxiformes, Branchiostomatidae. The record is from RefSeq and is a predicted model, not a curated record.